GUGUGGUGUGAGGCUGGGACAAGAACAGGCAAGCCCUUGCACAGUUCUGAGGCUGUGUGGGGUGAGCCUGCUCGGAAACAGAAAACCUGGGGCAAAGCUGAAAGAAUGUGCAACCCCCUCCGAGACGCACCACUGCUCUCCUGAUGCUGCCCCACCUCCCUGAAACCUCAAGCCAUCAACAGGCCCCAGUCUCCUCUUUCUUCGUAAUUCUAAAGGAAUAAAAACUUACAAGUGACUGUGAGGUGGGAGCUGACCCCAGAAAAC
This is a long non-coding RNA of Lemur catta (Ring-tailed lemur), 264 nucleotides long. RefSeq lists it as uncharacterized. The transcript is spliced from 3 exons. The record is from RefSeq and is a predicted model, not a curated record. Lineage: Eukaryota; Metazoa; Chordata; Mammalia; Primates; Lemuridae.